RNAcentral lists this small RNA (159 nucleotides) under Sinorhizobium meliloti 2011. RNAcentral describes it as "putative ncRNA". Lineage: Bacteria; Pseudomonadati; Pseudomonadota; Alphaproteobacteria; Hyphomicrobiales; Rhizobiaceae. The record is from RNAcentral.
GGCCGGUCUUGUCGUCGGGAGCACCGUCGAUCGCGGUCUGCGCCUGUUGGUACGAGAGCUUGGCGGCGCUUCGCAUCAUGAUGCGGUGAAACGUAUGCCCGGCCUUGCGGCCUUCCUUGGAAAAGCGCAUCCGGACCGCAAGCGCCGGGCGGUCGACGC